RNAcentral lists this ribosomal RNA (406 nucleotides) under uncultured bacterium. Its description in RNAcentral is "bacterial SSU rRNA". It matches the Rfam family "Bacterial small subunit ribosomal RNA", at positions 354 to 777 of the family's 1533-position model. The record is from RNAcentral.
GUGGGGGAUAUUGCACAAUGGGGGAAACCCUGAUGCAGCGACGCCGCGUGAGUGAAGAAGUAUUUCGGUAUGUAAAGCUCUAUCAGCAGGGAAGAAAAUGACGGUACCUGACUAAGAAGCCCCGGCUAACUACGUGCCAGCAGCCGCGGUAAUACGUAGGGGGCAAGCGUUAUCCGGAUUUACUGGGUGUAAAGGGAGCGUAGACGGUAUGGCAAGUCUGAAGUGAAAGCCCCGGGCUCAACCUGGGAACUGCUUUGGAAACUGUUAAACUAGAGUGCUGGAGAGGCAGGCGGAAUUCCUAGUGUAGCGGUGAAAUGCGUAGAUAUUAGGAGGAACACCAGUGGCGAAGGCGGCCUGCUGGACAGUAACUGACGUUGAGGCUCGAAAGCGUGGGGAGCAAACAGGA